GAUGAACGCUAGCUACAGGCUUAACACAUGCAAGUCGAGGGGAAACGACAUCGAAAGCUUGCUUUUGAUGGGCGUCGACCGGCGCACGGGUGAGUAACGCGUAUCCAACCUGCCCACCACUUGGGGAUAACCUUGCGAAAGUAAGACUAAUACCCAAUGACGUCUCUAGAAGACAUCUGAAAGAGAUUAAAGAUUUAUCGGUGAUGGAUGGGGAUGCGUCUGAUUAGCUUGUUGGCGGGGUACCGGCCCACCAAGGCGACGAUCAGUAGGGGUUCUGAGAGGAAGGUCCCCCACAUUGGAACUGGGACAAGGGCCAAAAUGCUACGGGAGGGAGCAGUGAGGAAUAUUGGUCAAGGGACGAGAGUCCGAACCAGGCAAGUAGCGUGCAGGAUGACGGCCCUAUGGGUUGUAAACUGCUUUUAGAAGGGAAUAAAGUGAGUCUCGUGAGACUUUUUGCAUGUACCUUAUGAAUAAGGACCGGCUAAUUCCGUG
Molecule: ribosomal RNA, 492 nt
Filed under: uncultured bacterium
Lineage: Bacteria
Description: partial 16S ribosomal RNA
Rfam family: Bacterial small subunit ribosomal RNA
Source: RNAcentral